GGAUGUUUCAGAAGGCUUCCACAUCUAAAACAGUGCAUACGAUUUGAAAACAGGGCUACAGCCAAGGAAUCAGGGUUUUGCUGUGUCAGCAAACAAUCCAGAGAGACAACAGUAAGUGAUCAAAACAGCAAGUUUAUUGACAGGAGGAGCAGCAGGAUAAAAGGCAACAGUCCGAGGGUGAGUAAUAUGGAGAAUUAAAAGUUUCAGGUCUCUUAGCUGUAGAUAAUGGGGAAUUGUCUCUUGCAGGUGAUCUAGAGGAGCAGUGGAGAACUGGUAUUAUACAAAUAUUUUAAUAUGCAUCUGUAAGUAAGAAAAAAA
Molecule: long non-coding RNA, 318 nt
Organism: Cyprinus carpio (common carp)
Lineage: Eukaryota; Metazoa; Chordata; Actinopteri; Cypriniformes; Cyprinidae
Source: Ensembl